AUGAAGGCCAAGGAAUUCUUUUUCCAAUUUGGGACUUUCUCGGUUAGGGACGGUUCUCAGGUUUGAUUCUGGGAAGACACCUGGCUAGGGACCACACCACUCAUGGUGCAAUACCCGAGUUUGUAUAACAUUGUUAGACAUAAAUUUGUCACCAUCAAACAAGUUUUGGGACAAGAAAACCCUGAUAUUUCUUUCCGUAGGGACCUAUUAGGACCUCGCCUGACAGCUUGGAAUGAGCUACUCAUACGUCUAGAGGCUAUUCAGCUGUUAGAUGAACCGGACAUCUUUCGAUGGAAUUUGCAUCAGAAUGGCAAGUUUACAGUCAAAUCCAUGUAUGAUGCAAUGGUUCAUUGUGAUGUUCCAGUUGAUAAGAGGAAAUUGUGGAAGCUUAAAAUCCCUCUAAGAGUGAAGAUAUUCCGCUGGUUCCUAAACAGAGGGGUCAUCUUAACUAGAGAUAACCUGGCACGACGCAACUGGCAAGGCACCAAGGCGUGUGUUUUUUGCCAACAUGACGAGUCUAUUAAGCACUUAUUUUUUGAGUGUAAGUUCGCUCGGGCGGUUUUGGCCAUAGUUCAAGUAGCUUCAAAUUUAUACCCACCAUGCAGUGCUCGUAACAUGUUCGGCAAUUGGUUGAGGGGUAUUGAUAAACAAAUUUCUCCACAUAUUCUUGUGGGGGCGGCUGCCUUAUGCUGGGCAUUGUAG
RNAcentral lists this ribosomal RNA (702 nucleotides) under Triticum aestivum (bread wheat). Its description in RNAcentral is "partial small subunit ribosomal RNA". Lineage: Eukaryota; Viridiplantae; Streptophyta; Magnoliopsida; Poales; Poaceae. The record is from RNAcentral.